This 298-nucleotide ribosomal RNA is filed under the name Staphylococcus pseudintermedius. Its description in RNAcentral is "partial 23S ribosomal RNA". It matches the Rfam family "Bacterial large subunit ribosomal RNA", at positions 72 to 363 of the family's 2925-position model. Lineage: Bacteria; Bacillati; Bacillota; Bacilli; Caryophanales; Staphylococcaceae. The record is from RNAcentral.
UAUGCUUUGGGGAGCUGUAAGUAAGCUUUGAUCCAGAGAUUUCCGAAUGGGGAAACCCAGCACGAGUUAUGUCGUGUUAUCUGCAUGUGAAUACAUAGCAUGCAAGAAGGCAGACCCGGAGAACUGAAACAUCUUAGUACCCGGAGGAAGAGAAAGAAAAAUCGAUUCCCUGAGUAGCGGCGAGCGAAACGGGAAGAGCCCAAACCAAUAAGCUUGCUUAUUGGGGUUGUAGGACACUCUGUACGGAGUUACAAAAGAAUUUGUUAGACGAAUAACCUGGAAAGGUUAAUCAGAGAAG